This 532-nucleotide long non-coding RNA is filed under the name Cyanistes caeruleus (blue tit). RNAcentral's name for it is "lncRNA (ENSCCEG00000023677.1)". The record is from RNAcentral. Lineage: Eukaryota; Metazoa; Chordata; Aves; Passeriformes; Paridae.
AUGCCUUUAGCUCUGCACCUCAGUUCUCAGCUGCUUCACAGUUUUCCACCAUGGAAAGUCUCAGGCCCAACCCAAAACCCAUUGGCACAGAUCACUGACAAGAGCAAAAAUCCAAGAAGAGGGGUUGUUUUCCUCCACUGAAAUACCACAUAUGCUGAAAUGUCUGAGUCACUUUAUCUCAGCCUGUUCCUUCACUGUUGGAUUACAUUUUCAAGGAGAAACCUUUUCCAGUCAGCACUGCAGAGCAUCUCUUUAAAAGGAGCUGGAGGUACCUGUUUUUCCUGGUCUUUUUGAACAUAUUCUUUCAUUCCAAACCCAAUCUGGAUUCUUUCAGAUCCUAGAAAGAUCACUUGAAUUUUAUGCUAAACCCUUUAUGGCAACAGGGCUAAGGACUCACGUAGAAAUGAAGCACAAAUAGCUUGCUGUAAAAAGAGAGCCUUUUGCAGACCUUUUUUAAAGGUGAAUGUUUAUGUACAAAGUACCAGCUCAAGAUUUAGGUUUUCUAAGAGCACUGCAGCAGAAAACCAGAAAU